CGGUGCUGCCCUCCAGCUACUACCAGCCACUGGUGCACCUGCUGUGCCACGAGGUCAAGCUGGGCAUGCAGGGCCCAGGGCCGCUGAUCCCACUCAUCGAGGAGACAACCAGCACCGAGUGUCGCCAGGACGUGGCCACGAACCUGCUCAAGCUCUUCCUGGGGCAGGGGCUGGCCAAGGACUUCCUGGACCUGCUCUUCCAGCUGGAGCUGAGUCGCACCAGUGAGGCCUGGGAAGGAGCUGGGCCCAGAACACUGGGAGGUGUUUGGGGGUGGGUGGGCUCCUCCUGUAGGAGGCAGAUGGGGUCAGACAGGAGGGAGGCAAGGAACAGAGCCAAGGGCAGAGGUGGGACAGUGAGCUGGGAGGUGGCGAGGAGGCCCUUUAUUGAGGGGCCAGCUUAGAUCCCCCAGCCCCAAGGUCCUCUGUCCUCCCCCUCCCCCAAAAGCUUUGUCCCAGCCCCCUACCCACUUGGACCUCUGUUUGUAGUUAGAGUUUGUUUGGCUACUUCCUUUGCAACCCCCACCCCCAACCUUUUUCUGCAUGGUAGAUGAAAAAUUGAAAGUACCUCUGAUUGGUCCCUUUCCACAACCAAUCAGGCUGGUCAUGGGCCAAGUCUUCAUUUGCAUAGGAGUAUAACUUUGUAACUUCACUUCAGCCUUUUCCCAAUCAAUCAGAGAUUUGCAUAGGGUGUAACUUUGAAACUUGCUUCAGCCUCUGAUAGGUCCCUUCCCUCAACCAAUCAGACUGAUUGUGGGCACUACUUCAUUUACAAGGGUGUACACCAAGUAACCAAUGGAAAACCUCUAGAGGAUAUUUAACCCCCAAAAAAUUCAGUAACCAGGCUCUUGAACCACUUGCUCAAGCCACUCCCACCCUGUGAAGUGUACCUUCAUUUUCAAUAAAUCUCUGCUUUUGUUGCCUCAUUCUUUCCUUGCUUUCUUUGUGCAUUUUGUCCAAUUCUUUGUUCAUGACACCAAGAACCUGGACACCCUUCUCGGGUAACCCACUUCCAAAAUAAUGGCAUUAAUCCAUUCAUGAGAGCCUCAGCACCUCCCACCUCCCACCACUCAACACCAUCACACUGGAGAUCAAGCCUCUAAGAUAUGAACUUUGGUGGAUACAUUUGAACCACUGCCUUGUCUUACAGGCAGAAGCUCUGACAUUUCUGAGAGGAAAACAGUUACUUCAUCCUGACCUGGAGAAGUCUCAAGUUCUGGCAAAAUAUCUCUUCUCCUCAGCAGUCCAGUCUGCAGUCUUCACCCCUCCUUUGAAUUCGUCCUGGAUCUUCUUUUCAAUCUUUUCUCUUUUCCACAGUGCAGGUCUCCCUACUUCUCUACUUUGACUUCACUACUGUUUACAUUAGAAAAAGUGAAUUUACAUAAAUAGAGGCUCUCCAGAUCUCCUAAUUUUCAGUCUUUUCCCCCCUUACUUCAGUAACAUCUCUGCUUGUUUUUCCUUCAGACCAGACCCUCAGGUGACUUUCUGCCCCCUCAUCCCUCUGCCCCCAGUCUCCAUAUUCUAGAGGAGUUUGGCCAUCAGUCUUAUGGUACUUAUACUGUCUUCUCUUUGGUGAACAUAUCUUUUUUUCUCUUCUUUGUCUGGGAAUACUCCUAUUUAAUCACCUUCUAGUUGUCAGGUUCCUUCACCCAUUUGGCCACCAGUCCCAGGUGGAAGCCCUAGGAGGUCUAGGAACACUUUUCAAAUUUUAGUCUACCUGAGGAGAAGCUACCCUUACCUGAAACCAGGUUGUGCAGGCCAAAGAAGCAGGUCUCUGUGUUCUGGAAUUAGAUCAGCUCAGUGAGGUGACCAAGCUCCAUGUAGAGAAGACUAUAAGGAGGAGUCUCUAGUGGUGAGAAGUUUGAGGGAGCAUGAUACUGCUUCCUGUUGCAGUGUAUGGAAACCUGUUUCAGCUUGAUAGGCCAGGGAAAGCCUUAGAGGAGGUAACUAACCCUGGAGCAGAGACUGGGUUCUGAGGUAGGAGCCAGCUUAAUUGGUCUGAGAAGUGGGACACAGGGAGAAGGAGAGGCCAAGGGAAGGGCUUUGGGUUUUAUUCUAUGUGUAAUGGAAACCCUGAUGGGUUUUAAAGAGGAGAGGAUGUGGCCUGCCCUAUGUAGACCCCCUCGCCCUUAUCCCUCUCAUGCUCCCAUUUUUCUUGUUUAAGUUUCCUGUUGGCUGUCCUGUAACCACUCAAUGGGUUCUUCUUUCCUGUUGCUCAGAUACAGCUGAUCUAUCAAGAUCAGAGAAAGAGUAUAAUACACAUAGAGCCAGCCAAAUGGGAGACUAGAGUUUUAUUAUUACUCAAAUCAGCCUCCCCGAAAAUUUGGAGGCGAAGAUUUUUAAAGAAUAGUUUGGCAGGCAGGGGGCUAGGGAAUGGGUGCUGCUAAUUGGUUUGGGGUGCAGUCAUAGGGCUGUGGAAAAUGGUCUUCAUGUGCUGUCUGCUUCUGGGUGGGGCCACAGGAGUCUAACUGGGGCCAUCCAGUUAUCAGAGAUGCAAAAGCCUGAAAAGACAUCUCAAAAGGCCAAUCUUAGGUUCCACAAUAGUGAUGUUAUUUACAGGAGUUAUUGGGGGAAGUUGUAAAUCUUGUGACCUUUGGAAUAAUGGCAGUAAUCAUUUAACUACAAAUUCAGGCCCCUCUCAUCCUUCUAACCUG
Molecule: long non-coding RNA, 2651 nt
Filed under: Pan troglodytes (chimpanzee)
Lineage: Eukaryota; Metazoa; Chordata; Mammalia; Primates; Hominidae
Description: long non-coding RNA NONPTRT016123
Source: RNAcentral